UCCCAAGUGAUCUAGUGGUUAGGAUUUCGCGCUUUCACCGCGACGGUCGGGGUUCGAUUCCACGCUUGGGAA
This 72-nucleotide transfer RNA is filed under the name Gigantopelta aegis. RNAcentral describes it as "tRNA-Glu". It matches the Rfam family "tRNA". Rfam says of the family: Transfer RNA (tRNA) molecules are approximately 80 nucleotides in length. Their secondary structure includes four short double-helical elements and three loops (D, anti-codon, and T loops). Lineage: Eukaryota; Metazoa; Mollusca; Gastropoda; Neomphalida; Peltospiridae. The record is from RNAcentral.